CAAAAUAUUGAGUCGCUAUAAUUAGAUGAUUAUAUAAUUUUUUGAUUAUAGAGGAAAGUCCGGGCUUCACAGGGCAUAAUGCUGGAUAACGUCCAGGGGUCGGUGGAUAGAUAUAUGUUUAUCCGCUAACUACGGAAAGUGCCACAGAAAAUAUACCGCCUUGAUUGUUUAUUGAGGUAAGGGUGAAAAGGUGGGAGGCGCAAGCCUUUAAUGUAAGAGCCCACCGCUGCUAUGGUGACGUAGCAGGCAUGGUAAACCCCAUUUGAAGCAAGUCCAAACAUAUUGCGUUUUAAGAUGACCCGUCUAGCAAUUAGGUAGGACGCUUUAGGCGCUCGGUAACGAGUGGUCAAGAUAGAUGACUCAGGUUUGGUUUUUUUUAAUAAUUUGGCCAAACUCACAAAACCCGGCUUAUUUUUUGUAAU
Molecule: RNase P RNA, 422 nt
Filed under: SAR324 cluster bacterium
Lineage: Bacteria; Deltaproteobacteria
Description: RNase P RNA component class A
Rfam family: Bacterial RNase P class A
About the family: Ribonuclease P (RNase P) is a ubiquitous endoribonuclease, found in archaea, bacteria and eukarya as well as chloroplasts and mitochondria. Its best characterised activity is the generation of mature 5'-ends of tRNAs by cleaving the 5'-leader elements of precursor-tRNAs.
Source: RNAcentral